CUGCUGAUAGCGUCGGUGCUGGGCGCGUCAGAGACAUCGCCGCUCGGCCGCAUUCGCGUGAAAUGCUCGCAGCCGUCCCACCAGAUUCAGAAGCACGACAUCGCUACCCACGCCGGCGGGCUGAUCUCGCAGCAAUCUUAUUCUCCGAAGUGCGCACUACGAUUGACGUUGGUCGAGGCGAGCGAAAGUUGAAUCGUCCACCAAGGGAUAUUCGUGUGUCGCGUAGCAAACCGACCAAGAAAUAUGUACCACAGUCCGAUCAAUCAGGCGCAACUUCGCUCGGCGGCCACUCACCGUCAGCCCUUAUACCCGCCGCCACUCGUCGGCCACGACAUCAGCUACGGUGAACACGAAUCCGGUCAAGCCACUCCGGCGCUUCUCCAGUACACCGGAGUACUAUCCUGACCCAGAACUACGAACCGGCGUCAAUGCGAUCGUGGCCAUCAAAUACAUCUACGGACGCGGCGAAACGUUCUUUCAUGAGAUACCACACUUGCGAUUGCGAUCGAAGAAUAAUCAGGUGAGACGGGAGAAUUGCUCGAGUGGCAACAUCCUCGGCAGUUUGAGACCUGAUUAGGCGUGGUUCCGCA
Molecule: long non-coding RNA, 590 nt
Organism: Phymastichus coffea
Lineage: Eukaryota; Metazoa; Arthropoda; Insecta; Hymenoptera; Eulophidae
Exons: 3
Source: RefSeq, a predicted model, not a curated record